RNAcentral lists this ribosomal RNA (427 nucleotides) under uncultured bacterium. RNAcentral describes it as "partial 16S ribosomal RNA". It matches the Rfam family "Bacterial small subunit ribosomal RNA", at positions 355 to 774 of the family's 1533-position model. The record is from RNAcentral.
UGGGGAAUAUUGCACAAUGGGCGCAAGCCUGAUGCAGCCAUGCCGCGUGUAUGAAGAAGGCCUUCGGGUUGUAAAGUACUUUCAGCGGGGAGGAAGGUGUUGUGGUUAAUAACCUCAGCAAUUGACGUUACCCGCAGAAGAAGCACCGGCUAACUCCGUGCCAGCAGCCGCGGCAAUACGGAGGGUGCAAGCGUUAAUCGGAAUUACUGGGCGUAAAGCGCACGCAGGCGGUCUGUCAAGUCGGAUGUGAAAUCCCCGGGCUCAACCUGGGAACUGCAUCCGAAACUGGCAGGCUUGAGUCUUGUAGAGGGGGGUAGAAUUCCAGGUGUAGCGGUGAAAUGCGUAGAGAUCUGGAGGAAUACCGGUGGCGAAGGCGGCCCCCUGGACAAAGACUGACGCUCAGGUGCGAAAGCGUGGGGAGCAAACA